Molecule: ribosomal RNA, 484 nt
Filed under: uncultured bacterium
Lineage: Bacteria
Description: partial 16S ribosomal RNA
Rfam family: Bacterial small subunit ribosomal RNA
Source: RNAcentral
AUUGAACGCUGGCGGCAUGCUUUACACAUGCAAGUCGAACGGCAGCGCGGGCUUCGGCCUGGCGGCGAGUGGCGAACGGGUGAGUAAUGCAUCGGAACGUGCCCAGUAGUGGGGGAUAGCCCGGCGAAAGCCGGAUUAAUACCGCAUACGACCUGAGGGUGAAAGCGGGGGACCGAAAGGCCUCGCGCUAUUGGAGCGGCCGAUGUCGGAUUAGCUAGUUAGUGGGGUAAAGGCUUACCAAGGCGACGAUCCGUAGCUGGUCUGAGAGGACGACCAGCCACACUGGGACUGAGACACGGCCCAGACUCCUACGGGAGGCAGCAGUGGGGAAUUUUGGGCAAUGGGGGCAACCCUGAUCCAGCCAUGCCGCGUGCGAGAAGAAGGCCUUCGGGUUGUAAACCGCUUUUGUUCGGGAAGAAAUCCUCUGGGCUAAUACCCCGGGGGGAUGACGGUACCGGAAGAAUAAGCACCGGCUAACUACGUG